CAUCUUUCACAAGCUUUGCAUUUGUUGGUUGAUCUGACCAUUGUGGCAUUGCCACCAUUGGCACUCCCAAACUAAUCGCUUCCAGUGUCGAAUUCCAUCCACAGUGCGUCAGAAAACACCCUAUCGACUCAUGUUCCAACACUUGUAAUUGUGGACACCAUGACACCACUAAGCCUUUUUCACUUGUUAAUUCCUCAAUAAAGUUGUUGGGGAGUUUGGGCUCUUCAGUAGACCUAACAACCCACAAGAAGCUCUUGUUGCUAUUCUUCAAACCCCAUGCCAAUUCUUCCAUUUGCUCACUUCCUAGUUUGGCUAAACUUCCAAAUGAUACAUACAACACUGAGCUAAUUGGUUGAUGGUUUAACCAAUUUAGGCAUUCAUUUGUCAUUGGCUUGAACAUACUAAGACCAUACUCUUUAUCAUCAUGUAGUCUCUUGUCUAAGUACAUUGAUGGUAUUGUUGGUCCAAUUGUCUUUAUUGGAUAUAUCUUCGACAUCCAAUCAAUUACCUACAUGACAAAUAAUAAACUAUAUUAUAUGAUUCAGUUAAUUCCUUUAAUGUUUUUUACACUAUGGGUGGUUGAGUCAGGAUUUUUCACUAAGGAGAUUCAAAAUAUGAAGAAGUAAACAUACGAAACCGUAGAUCUGGAAUUCAACAUCUACAUAAAAAAGAAUAUGCGGAAGAAUAUUUUACCUCUUUCUCCAACUCAUAAAAGCUAUUGAUUAGGACCCAAUCUACUUUGUCAAGAUUUGAGAAUUGAUUCACCAACAUUUCAAGUAUUCUUUCUCCUUCAGGAUUAAUAACAAAAUUAGGUACAUCUGAUGCCUUAAUUGGACUUGAAAAUCCAGGAAUUAUGAUUUUUUCAUCAUUUUGAGUAGGGGGAAGUUUUAUUACCCCUUUAUGAACAUGGUAAUAAAUGUUAUCCACUACACAAUUUUGUGUAAAAAAUGCAGCACUAAUCAAUCCAAAUUGUUUUGCAACUUCAACAGCCCAAGGGAGGAAUGGAUCAUAUACUAUGCAAUUUACAGGACAUCCACUAAUUGCCAAUUUUUGAAUAAGUUGAGACAGAGUAUCCGAACCAAUUUCUUUGAAUCGUGUAAUAUAGGCCACGAAAGUUCCUGCUUGAUCGCGACCACCAUCAUCAUAGCCAUCAGAUAUGGCCUCAAUUGACAUAGAAGUUGGCAAUUCCUUCAUGUUUUUCAAAAAGGAUUUUGUGAGUGCUAUAGUGAUUUUAACGCGUUUGGAUCGUAAACGUUUGGAGAAUUGAAGCAUUGGGUUGAUAUGACCUUGGACUGGAUAUGGCAAGAUCAAGCAAUGAGCUUUGUGAGUAGUCAUCUCUUGCAACUUCUCAAUUGAUGGCUGAAAUAAAAAAAAAUCAACUUAGUGUUGUAUAUUCUUAUAGUUAGUUGAUUGAGUUGAAGUGUACAAUUUGGAUUAUUGUGUGUUGGCUUCUUCCUCUUCUAUAUUCCAACUUUUUAUUGCCAACAUAUGCAAUGACACAAGACAAUUAUUGGGUAUACAAUGUACUAGUGACAUCUAAAUCUUAUCAAUAAAAAUUAAUGACUAAUAUAAAUGAAUUCACGUAAAAGGGUUAAAAAUAUUCUUAAACUAUAUAAAAUUCAAUAAAAAUAUUCUUAGCUAAUAACUUCAUCUAAAAUACUAUUGUCAUUUUUAAGAUUAAUAACUUUUUUAUGUUUUUUUUUUUUUGUUGACAUUAAAGGGGGGAAACGGAAUGGAUAAAGGUGAAAAAUAGAAUCUUUAAAAUAUUCUUUGAGAUUUGAAGAGAUUUUUGUAUGUCGGGUUUUUUCUUCCUCGUAAAAUUUGGAUUAAAAAAUCAAAAUGGUCAUAUUUUUAUAUACAUAAAGGACUAUUUUAGUAAGCUAAUGUAUAAAUAUAAAAGGACCAAGAAUAUUCAAACCCCAUAUAUCAAGGACCAUUUUGGUUAUUUUCACACUCAUUAAAAGUUUUAGUUUGAUCAAAAGGUUAAUAAAUUAGAAGGUCACUAAUCGGAAAAAAAAAGAUAAUGAAAAAAACUGUUUCCUUCUCUCUUCUUUCUUGUUGAAAAAUCUCUUAAAAUAUCGUAUUUGUUGCCUCUUCAAAAAAAAAUGAUCCAUUAUUAUAAAUAUGAACCGAAUAAAUUAGAUAAAAUACUCCAUUUCUCUUUUUUGAGAUCUCCAUAACUAAGUUUUUUUCAAGUUUUAAACAACUAUUCUCUGGAAAAGGUCUAUUAAUAGGGAAUAGGGACAAACUAGUUAGUCAAUUAGAUAAAAAUCCUUCAAAUUUAAAAAAUAAAAUAAAAUUGAUAAAUGAUAUAAAUUAAGGAUCGUCGUGAGUAACAGAAAAUCAAGUAAAGCAGUCUAGCUAGCUAGAGAAUUGAGCUUCUUAUAAACUCAAAACAAUACCAUUAUAAAAAAAAAAUAUCAAACUUUGGUACUUCAAUCAGAAAAAAGUAAUUACAAAAUACAAAUCUAUUUCUUUAUCAUUUAGGAAAUAGUAACCAACUUGGAAACAAAUUCUUCAAUGUUUUUAUCUGAACUUCCUCCUUCAUUCACAACAUUUCUAGCUAUUUCCUUCCAUUUCUUUGCAUUUUCUCUAAUUAGUUUUCCUUUAUCUUCUUCCAUCACUAGCUUUAUACAUUCUUCUAUAACUUCUCUUCUAACUACCCCUUUUUCAUCUUGUUUGGCUCUAACACCUAUUUCCCAAACAUCUUUCACAAGCUUUGCAUUUGUUGGUUGAUCAGACCAUUGUGGCAUUGCCACCAUUGGCACUCCCAAACUAAUCGCUUCCAGAGUUGAAUUCCAUCCACAGUGCGUCAGAAAACAACCUGUCGAUUCAUGUUCCAACACUUGUAAUUGUGGACACCAUGACACCACUAAGCCUUUUUCACUUGUUAAUUCCUCAAUAAAGUUGUUGGGAAGUUUGGGCUCUUCAGUAGACCUAACAACCCACAAGAAGCUCUUGUUGCUAUUCUUCAAACCCCAUGCCAAUUCUUCCAUUUGCUCAUCUCCUAAUUUGGUUAUACUUCCAAAUGAUACAUACACCACUGAGCUAAUUGGUUGAUGGUUUAACCAAUUUAGACAUUCAUUUGUCAUUGGCUUGAAGACACUAAGACCAUACUCUUUAUCAUCAUGUAGUCUCUUGUCUAAGUACAUUGAUGGUAUUGUUGGUCCAAUUGUCUUUAUUGGAUAUAUCUUUGACAUCCAUUCAAUUACCUACAUGUCAAACAAUAAAAAGUUCAUGUAACCAUUUGAAUAAUUUGUACAAUAACUUAGGUGACUAGAACAGAAAGUCUAAGGCAUUAUACAUAGUUUAAUUCCUUCUAUGUUUUCUAUACUAUCCAUAGCAGAGUCAGAAUUUUCAUUAAGCAGUAUCCAUAGCAGAGUCAGAAUUUUCAUUAAACAGUAUCCAUAGCAGAGUCAGAAUUUUCAUUAAUCAGUAUCCAUAGCAGAGUCAGAAUUUUCAUUAAUCAGAUGAAGAAGUUAAGGGGCUUCAAUAAUACCUCACAUAUGCUUUGUCAGUUCAUUUUUUAUACGCGAAGAAGAAACAGAACGACAUGUUACCUCUUUCUCCAACUCAUAGAAGCUAUUGAUUAGAACACAAUCAACUUUGUCAAGAUUUGAGAAUUGAUUUGCUAACAUUUCAACUAUCCUUUCUGCUUCAGGACUAAUAACAAAAGAAGGUACAUCUGAUGCAUCGAUCGAAUUUGGAAAUCCAGGAAUUAAUAUUUCUUCGUCAUUUUGAGUAGGUGGAAGUUUUAUCACCCCUUUAUGUACAUGGUAAUAAAGAUUAUCCACUACACAAUUUUGUGUGAAAAAUGCAGCACUAAUUAAUCCAAAUUGUUUUGCAACUUCAACAGCCCAAGGAAUGAAUGGAUCAUAUACUAUGCAAUUUACAGGACAAUCACUAUUUUCCAAUUUUUUAAUAAGCUGAGACAGAGUAUCCGAACCAACUUCUUUGAAUCGUGUUAUGUAGGCUACGAAAUUUUCUGCUUGAUGGAAACCACCAUCAUCGUAGCCAUCAGAAAUCGCCUCGAUUGAUACUGAAGUUGACAAUUCUUGCAUUGUUUUCAAACAGGAUUUUGUGAGUGCUAUAGUGAUUUUAACGCGUUUGGAUUGUAAACGUUUGGAGAAUUGAAGCAUUGGGUUGAUAUGACCUUGGCCUGGAAAUGGCAAAAUUAAGCAAUGAGCUUUGUGAGUAUUCAUUUUUUAUUUUUUAUUUUUUGCAACUUCUCAAUGAAUUGAGUUAAUAAUAAUAGAUAGGAUGAGAAAAAUUAUGUGGUUGUUAUAGUUAGGUGAUAGAGUUUGAAGUGUCUUUUUGGCUUAUUUUGUCUAUUAUUGAUACAAAGUUUUUAUUGCAAACAUGUGUAAUAAAUAUGCCAAUAUAUAUUGUUUGAUAUAUUACUUGGAAUCUAGGGAUAUCACUUUUAUUUUGAGGGAUAAAGAAUAACUAAUCUCAAGAUUAAUUUUGAUGAUUAUGUUUGGCUAAUUUUGAAAUAAUUAAUUUCGAGAUAACUCGAUUCCUAACCAACAUGUACAGUGACACAAGUGUUAAGAAGUCCCAUAUCGGUAAAGGAAUGAAAAUUUGAUCUCCUUAUAUGGACUUAGACAAACAUCUCCUUAUAAACUAAUUUUUGAGGUUGAGUUAGACACAGAUAACAAAACUUAAUAAUAAACGAUAUCAUUUAAAAUGUUGUCUAAAAAAAGUGACACAAUUUAUUACUUUACUUGGAAGAUGCCUUUUUGUAGACAUUUACUUUUAAUUACUGAAUUUAAAUAAUAAAAUAUUUUGAUUGUAUCUUAAAUUCAAAUAAUCAUAUAAUUUGCAAUAAAAAUUACGGACCGAUAUAACUGAAUUUAUGUAAAAGGGUUAAAAAUAUUCUUAAAUUAUGUAAAAUUAAAUAAAAAUAUUCUUAACUAAUAACUUGGUUUAAAAUGCUAUUGUCGUCAAUAGUUUAAUUCAAAAAUAUUCUUAUUGUUACUUAAUUAACGAAUUACUUAUCCACCGUCUAGCUCCCCUCUCUCGCUUCCUGUUCCCCAAAAUAUCAAAUAAUAUUAAGAUCAUAAUUACUCACUCUUUAAUAUAAAUGCAUAAUAAUUAUAAUUAACGUGAAAUUUGUGUUGUGUGUCAUUUAAAAAAAUAUAAAAGAAAGGAUACUAGGAAGAUUCAGGUCAAACUUUGGUAAUUCAAUAAGAAAAAGAAAUUACAAAAUACAAAUCCAUUUCUUGAUUAUUUUUAUGGCUCUUAAUUAACUUUUUUAUUACUUAGAGAUAUAUUAACCAACUUAUAGCUUGUUACAUAAAUAGUCUUAGCAAAUGUCAUCAAUCCAUACCAUCAAUAGACACUAUUACAAAUUAUAGCUUGUUACAUAAAUAGACAUAUUAUAGCUUGUUACAUAAACAGUCAAUUUAUAGCUUAUUACAUAAAUAGUCUUAACAAAUGUCAUCAAUCCAUACCAUCAAUAGACACUAUUACGAAUUAUAGCUUGUUACAUAAAUAGCCGAAUAAUAGCUUUAUAGCUUGUUACACUUGUUACAUAAAUAGCCAAAAUAUUUGCUUGUUACAUAAAUAGCCAAUUUUUAGCUUGUUACAUAAAUAGACAAAUUAUAGCUUGUUACAUAAAUAGUCUUAGCAAAUAUCAUCAAUCCAUACCAUCAAUAGACACUAUUACAAAUUAUAGCUUGUUACAUAAAUAGCCAAAUUAGAGCUUGUUACAUAAAUAGCCAAUUUAGAGCUUGUUACAUAAAUAGCCAAAUUUUUAGCUUCUUAUAUAAAUAGCCAAAUUAUAGCUUGUAACAUAAAUAGCCAAAUUAUAGCUUGUUACAUAAAUAGUCUUAGCAAAUGUCAUCAAUCCAUACCAUCAAUAGACACCAUUACAAAUUAUAGCUUGUUACAUAAAUAGCCAAAUUAGAGCUUGUUACAUAAAUAGCCAAUAUAUAGCUUAUUAUAUAAAUAGCCAAUUUUUAGCUUGUUACAUAAAUAGCCAAAUUGUUUUAGCCUUCCACAAUAAUAGGUAAAAGGUAGAAAAUAAAGGAAGAUUCAAGUCAAUAUCCUACUUAGAAGAAAUAGUCAUCAACUUGGAAACAAAUUCUUCAAUGUUUUUAUCUGAACUUCCUCCUUCAUUCACAACAUUUCUAGCUAUUUCCUUCCAUUUCUUUGCAUUUUCUCUAAUUAGUUUUCCUUUAUCUUCUUCCAUCACUAGCUUUAUACAUUCCUCUAUAACUUCUCUUCUAACUACCCCUUUUUCAUCUUGUUUGGCUCUAACACCUAUUUCCCAAACAUCUUUCACAAGCUUUGCAUUUGUUGGUUGAUCUGUCCAUUGUGGCAUUGUCACUAUUGGCACUCCCAAACUAAUUUCUUCCAGUGUCGAAUUCCAUCCACAGUGCGUUAGAAAACAUCCUAUCGACUCAUGUUCCAACACUUGUAAUUGUGGACACCAUGACACCACUAGUCCUUUUUCAAUUGUUAAUUCCUCUAAAAAGUUGUUGGGAAGUUUAGAUUCUUCAUUAGACCUAACAACCCACAAGAAGCUCUUGUUGCUAUUCUUCAAACCCCAUGCCAAUUCUUCCAUUUGCUCACUUCCUAGUUUGGCUAAACUUCCAAAUGAUACAUACAACACUGAGCUAAUUGGUUGAUGGUUUAACCAAUUUAGGCAUUCAUUUGUCAUUGGCUUGAACAUACUAAGCCCAUACUCUUUAUCAUCAUGUAGUCUCUUGUCUAAGUACAUUGAUGGUAUUGUUGGUCCAAUUGUCUUUAUUGGAUAUAUCUUCGACAUCCAAUCAAUUACCUACGUGACAAACAAUUAGCAGAUGCAUACAUAUCUUAUUUUAAUUGAGUUUAAGAGUUCACUUGAUUGAAAAAGAGCAAAAAGAUUCAAAAUACAAACUCAUACAAGUAUAAGAAUUUUCAUCAGACUAUUUCGUUAUAUUUUUAUCAGGUAAUACUUAUCUUUUAAAAUGAAAAAUAGUGACUUACAAACAUAGAAAAAGAACAAAAAGAUGAAGAGUAUUUGUGUUACCUCUUUCUCCAAUUCAUAAAAGCUAUUGAUUAAUACCCAAUCAGUUUUCUCAAGAUUUGAGAAUUAAUUCACCAAUAGUUCAAUUAAUUUAUCUGUUUCAGGACUUGACUCAAAACUAGGUACAUAUGAACUUUCGAUUGUACAUGAUAAUCCAGGAAUUAAUAUUUUUUCAUCACUUUUAGUAGGUGGAAGUUUUAUUACCCCUUUAUGUGCAUGGUAAUAAAUAUUAUCCACUACACAAUUUUGUGUGAAAAAUGCAGCACUAAUUAAUCCAAAUUGUUUUGCAACUUCAACAGCCCAAGGAAGGAAUGGAUCAUAUACUAUGCAAUUUACAUGACAUCCACUUUUUGCCAAUUU
Molecule: long non-coding RNA, 7372 nt
Filed under: Solanum lycopersicum (tomato)
Lineage: Eukaryota; Viridiplantae; Streptophyta; Magnoliopsida; Solanales; Solanaceae
Description: long non-coding RNA (SLYC_LNC000490)
Source: RNAcentral